RNAcentral lists this ribosomal RNA (532 nucleotides) under uncultured bacterium. RNAcentral describes it as "bacterial SSU rRNA". It matches the Rfam family "Bacterial small subunit ribosomal RNA", at positions 8 to 526 of the family's 1533-position model. The record is from RNAcentral.
AGAGUUUGAUCAUGGCUCAGGACGAACGCUGGCGGCGCGCUUAACACAUGCAAGUCGAGCGAGAACCAUGCCUUCGGGCAUGGGGACAGCGGCGAACGGGUGAGUAACACGUGGGUAAUCUGCCCUUGACAUCGGGAUAGCCCGGGGAAACCCGGAUUAAUACCGAAUAGCCUCCGAAGCCCUCGGGCGUCGGAGAAAAGGUAGCUUCGGCCUCUGGUCAAGGAUGAGCCCGCGGCGGAUUAGCUUGUUGGCGGGGUAACGGCCCACCAAGGCGACGAUCCGUAGCUGGUCUGAGAGGACGAUCAGCCACACUGGGACUGAGACACGGCCCAGACUCCUACGGGAGGCAGCAGUGGGGAAUCUUGCGCGAAUGCGGGAAACCGUGACGCAGCGACGCCGCGUGGGGGAAGAAGGCCUUCGGGUUGUAAACCUCUUUCAGGAGGGACGAAGCUACUCGGGUUAAUAGCCCAGAGGGUGACGGUACCUCCAGAAGAAGCCCCGGCUAACUACGUGCCAGCCGCCGCGGUAAUAC